Molecule: ribosomal RNA, 497 nt
Filed under: uncultured bacterium
Lineage: Bacteria
Description: partial 16S ribosomal RNA
Rfam family: Bacterial small subunit ribosomal RNA
Source: RNAcentral
GAUGAACGCUGGCGGCGUGCCUAACACAUGCAAGUCGAGCGAACAGAUGAGGAGCUUGCUCCUCUGACGUUAGCGGCGGACGGGUGAGUAACACGUGGAUAACCUACUUAUAAGACUGGGAUAACUUCGGGAAACCGGAGCUAACACCGGAUAAUAUAUUGAACCGCAUGGUUGAAUAGUGAAAGUCGGUUUUGCUGUCACUUAUAGAUGGAUCCGCGCCGCAUUAGCUAGUUGGUAAGGUAACGGCUUACGAAGGCGACGAUGCGUAGCCGAACUGAGAGGGUGGUCGGCCACCCGGGAACUGGGACACGGUCCAGACUCCUGCGGGAGGCAGCAGUAGGGAAUCUUCCGCAAUAGGCGAAAGCCUGACAGAGCAACGCCGCGUGAGUGAUGAAGGUCUUCGGAGCGUAAAACUCUGUUAUGAGGGAAGAACAAAUGUGUAAGUAGCUGUGCACGUAUUGACGGUACCUGAUCAGAAAGCCACGGCUAACUACGUG